GCAAAAUAAAAAAAUUGCCUUUUUCAAAUUUUAUAGUUUACCAUGAAACUUUACUCAAACAUAAAAAGUGGGAAUUUCAAUAUUAAGAAAGUGUUCUCAAAUUAUCUUCCACUUUUUAUCAAACACGUAACAUCAACUGUAAAAUUCUUUCUUCCUCUUCUAACUUCCAGUUAUCAAACAUACUCUUAUCAAACACACUACUAAGGGCAUAGCUUUCUAUGCAUUUCUGCAUAAAAUUUAUAUGCUUCCCCCAUCCAACUGUCUAUUAUGAAUGGACCUUGAAAUGACCCUUAUCACAAUGUCAUAUCUCUAGACUAUAAUUUUAAUUGUUGUUUUGCAAACCAUUUUGAUACCAAAUUUUCAUCAUCUACUUCUCUUUUUAGUAAAAAAAAUAUUCUUAAUAAAAUAAAAUGACCAAAAUAUCUCUAAAAGUUUCAAGAAGUAUUUUGGUCAUUAUAUUUU
This 462-nucleotide long non-coding RNA is filed under the name Amborella trichopoda. RNAcentral's name for it is "long non-coding RNA (ATRI_LNC004970)". The record is from RNAcentral. Lineage: Eukaryota; Viridiplantae; Streptophyta; Magnoliopsida; Amborellales; Amborellaceae.